CUGGGAGGACCAUCUCCUAAGGCUAAAUACUCUCUAGUGACCGAUAGUGAACCAGUACCGUGAGGGAAAGGUGAAAAGCACCCCGGAAGGGGAGUGAAAUAGAACCUGAAACCGUGUGCUUACAAGUAGUCAGAGCCCGUUAAUGGGUGAUGGCGUGCCUUUUGUAGAAUGAACCGGCGAGUUACGAUUUGAUGCAAGGUUAAGCAGUAAAUGUGGAGCCGUAGCGAAAGCGAGUCUGAAUAGGGCGUUUAGUAUUUGGUCGUAGACCCGAAACCAGGUGAUCUACCCUUGGUCAGGUUGAAGUUCAGGUAACACUGAAUGGAGGACCGAACCGACUUACGUUGAAAAGUGAGCGGAUGAACUGAGGGUAGCGGAGAAAUUCCAAUCGAACCUGGAGAUAGCUGGUUCUCUCCGAAAUAGCUUUAGGGCUAGCCUCAAGUGAUGAUUAUUGGAGGUAGAGCACUGUUUGGACGAGGGGCCCCUCUCGGGUUACCGAAUUCAGACAAACUCCGAAUGCCAAUUAAUUUAACUUGGGAGUCAGAACAUGGGUGAUAAGGUCCGUGUUCGAAAGGGAAACAGCCCAGACCACCAGCUAAGGUCCCAAAAUAUAUGUUAAGUGGAAAAGGAUGUGGCGUUGCCCAGACAACUAGGAUGUUGGCUUAGAAGCAGCCAUCAUUUAAAGAGUGCGUAAUAGCUCACUAGUCGAGUGACACUGCGCCGAAAAUGUACCGGGGCUAAACAUAUUACCGAAGCUGUGGAUUGUCCUUUGGACAAUGGUAGGAGAGCGUUCUAAGGGCGUUGAAGCAUGAUCGUAAGGACAUGUGGAGCGCUUAGAAGUGAGAAUGCCGGUGUGAGUAGCGAAAGACGGGUGAGAAUCCCGUCCACCGAUUGACUAAGGUUUCCAGAGGAAGGCUCGUCCGCUCUGGGUUAGUCGGGUCCUAAGCUGAGGCCGACAGGCGUAGGCGAUGGAUAACAGGUUGAUAUUCCUGUACCACCUAUAAUCGUUUUAAUCGAUGGGGGGACGCAGUAGGAUAGGCGAAGCGUG
Molecule: ribosomal RNA, 1045 nt
Filed under: Staphylococcus aureus
Lineage: Bacteria; Bacillati; Bacillota; Bacilli; Caryophanales; Staphylococcaceae
Description: partial 23S ribosomal RNA
Rfam family: Bacterial large subunit ribosomal RNA
Source: RNAcentral